ACAAGCAGCGGAGUCGUGGGUUAAUUCGACGCAACGCGAAGAACUUACCAGGGAUUGACAUCCCCUGACCGGAUAUGAAAGUAUCCAUUUCUCUUCGGAGGACAGGGAGACAGGUGGUGCAUGGUUGUCGUCAGCUCGUGUCGUGAGAUGUUGGGUUAAGUCCCGCAACGAGCGCAACCCUUACGUUCAGUUGCUAACGGUUUAAAGCCGAGCACUCUGGAUGAACCGCCGUUGAUAAACGGAGGAAGUGGGAUGACGUCAAAUCAUCAUGCCCCUUAUACCCUGGGCUACACACGUGCUACAAUGGUCCGUACAGAGGGCUGCGACUCGGCGACGGGAAGCGAAUCCCUUAAAGCGGAUCUCAGUUCGGAUUGCAGGCUGCAACCCGCCUGCAUGAAGUCGGAAUCGCUAGUAAUCGCAGGUCAGCAUACUGCGGUGAAUACGUUCCCGGGCCUU
RNAcentral lists this ribosomal RNA (456 nucleotides) under uncultured Desulfurispora sp. RNAcentral's name for it is "bacterial SSU rRNA". It matches the Rfam family "Bacterial small subunit ribosomal RNA", at positions 925 to 1382 of the family's 1533-position model. The record is from RNAcentral. Lineage: Bacteria; Bacillati; Bacillota; Clostridia; Eubacteriales; Desulfurisporaceae.